AUUGAACGCUGGCGGCAGGCCUAACACAUGCAAGUCGAGCGGAUGAAGGGAGCUUGCUCCUGGAUUCAGCGGCGGACGGGUGAGUAAUGCCUAGGAAUCUGCCUGGUAGUGGGGGAUAACGUCCGGAAACGGGCGCUAAUACCGCAUACGUCCUGAGGGAGAAAGUGGGGGAUCUUCGGACCUCACGCUAUCAGAUGAGCCUAGGUCGGAUUAGCUAGUUGGUGGGGUAAAGGCCUACCAAGGCGACGAUCCGUAACUGGUCUGAGAGGAUGAUCAGUCACACUGGAACUGAGCCACGGUCCAGACUCCUACGGGAGGCAGAAGUGGGGAAUAUUGGACAAUGGGCGAAAGCCUGAUCCAGCCAUGCCGCGUGUGUGAAGAAGGUCUUCGGAUUGUAAAGCACUUUAAGUUGGGAGGAAGGGCAGUAAGUUAAUACCUUGCUGUUUUGACGUUACCAACAGAAUAAGCACCGGCUAACUUCGUG
RNAcentral lists this ribosomal RNA (484 nucleotides) under uncultured bacterium. RNAcentral describes it as "partial 16S ribosomal RNA". It matches the Rfam family "Bacterial small subunit ribosomal RNA", at positions 30 to 507 of the family's 1533-position model. The record is from RNAcentral.